RNAcentral lists this ribosomal RNA (195 nucleotides) under uncultured bacterium. RNAcentral's name for it is "partial 16S ribosomal RNA". It matches the Rfam family "Bacterial small subunit ribosomal RNA", at positions 338 to 524 of the family's 1533-position model. The record is from RNAcentral.
CCUACGGGAGGCAGCAGUGGGGAAUCUUCCGCAAUGGACGAAAGUCUGACGGAGCAACGCCGCGUGAGUGAAGAAGGUUUUCGGAUCGUAAAACUCUGUCUUUCGGGAUGAAUGUGUUCUUUGCGAAUAGUGAGGAGCAGUGACGGUACCGAAGGAGGAAGCCACGGCUAACUACGUGCCAGCAGCCGCGGUAAU